This is a long non-coding RNA of Ceratitis capitata (Mediterranean fruit fly), 1082 nucleotides long. RefSeq lists it as uncharacterized. NCBI's taxonomy places the organism in Eukaryota, Metazoa, Arthropoda, Insecta, Diptera, Tephritidae. The record is from RefSeq and is a predicted model, not a curated record. The transcript is spliced from 3 exons.
AGCCACGAAAAAUACGCUAGCGGAUGAGUAAAUACGUAUGUAAGCACAAACAAAUAUAAUUUAAUACACACCAACAACAAAUGCUUAAAUGAAAAUGUGUGUGCCUUACACGCCGCUCGUCGCUUGCUGCUAUUCAUUCGAUUCAAAUGUCGGCGUAUGCUGGAGAUAUAAAACAGUGCUGCUUUUUUCCUUUCGAUUUUCAUUGGCCAUGCAACAUCAUCGCUGUUCAUGCGGCGCUGGACCGAGCGUUGCUACUUGCGGGUAGCCAGAGGAUAUAUGUAUAGCAAACGGCAAACCAAAAUAAUAGUCAGUCAUACUCGUGGUAAAAAGAACUAUUUGAAGAUGUACUCAUACUCAGGUAUACACGAAUGCAUAUGUAUUGUACUUACACGUACAUACAACAACUUAUAUAAUAAUGGAUAUCGAUGCGCGUCAUGCCGGCACUUGCAAGGCUAUUAUGAUUUGUUUGUUUGUUUUAUUUUUCCUUUCUUUCUUUUAUUCGAAAUGCUUACGUGGAAUUUGUACUUGUAUCCGGGUGAAGGAAAACAAUAGGAUUCCAAUGUGUGGUGUAUUUAAUAGCGACAGCGAGACAAUGUGCCGGAUGCUCCUUUAUGCAGCACGAUUUCAUAUGCAAAUACGUCAAAUGGCGUUGGUCAACUCAAAUCAAAAGCAAAUGAAAGUCUCAUUUUUUUAUUAAUAAUUAACAAAAUCGUCCUUAGCUCAACUUCAAAAUAUUGAAAUACCUUGUAUUGAUUAAUUUGUCAUAUUUUAUUAGCUAUUUAUAUAUGGUUCUCAGGAAAUCAAAACUAAACUAAAAACGAUGUGAAAAGUUUGGAAACAAAUUUCCGAGCCAAAAUUUUUGUUGCCAAUGAAAGUUUGUAUGCGUAAACACAUAAAUGUAGAACUCAAAAAAUCUCGCUAAGAAAAGUAUUUCACCGACCAAAUAAAAGAAAUGGUUUCAAAAACAAACUUUGAACUCAAAGAUAUAAAAAAUUAGUUUGAAUGAAGUACGGUGGAACAUAUGCACGAAAAUAUAGAAAAAAUAUACAUUGAAACCGCGUAAAAAUAUCACGGGCAUAAGG